CUGUUCUGAUACCUGCUGGACUGAUUGUUGCUCUAUCAGUAUUAUUUUUGCUUUACUGGACAAAGACGUGCAAGCAACAAGUUUAUCAGUAUGUUAAGCUGAAUUAUACUGAAGUGAAAAGCACAUCUCAGUAUUCAGAGGAGGCUCAUAAGAAAGGCAGUGCUGGAGUGACAGAAGACCAGCGCACACCGGUGGUGUACUCUGCUAUAAGGACGUAACUCUGUAUUUUACCAUCAGCUUAUCUGUUUUCACAUUUUGAAAUGAUUUUUGUUGACCGCUUUAUUCCAUAUCCUGUAUCAGUGGCCUGAUGUUUAGAGCUUGAACAUUGACUCAUUUUCUGUACUUGUGCUACGUCUAUUAAGCUUUAAAUAUUAUUAAACAUUUUAUUUCUACUGAUUGUAGUGGGAAAAGAUAAA
This is a long non-coding RNA of Pygocentrus nattereri (red-bellied piranha), 416 nucleotides long. RefSeq lists it as uncharacterized. The record is from RefSeq and is a predicted model, not a curated record. NCBI's taxonomy places the organism in Eukaryota, Metazoa, Chordata, Actinopteri, Characiformes, Serrasalmidae. The transcript has 3 exons.